This is a long non-coding RNA of Camelus dromedarius (Arabian camel), 1097 nucleotides long. RefSeq lists it as uncharacterized. NCBI's taxonomy places the organism in Eukaryota, Metazoa, Chordata, Mammalia, Artiodactyla, Camelidae. The transcript is spliced from 2 exons. The record is from RefSeq and is a predicted model, not a curated record.
ACAAAACAGAGCACACAAAGUGUCUCUUCAUAAUAUCACAACCAACUGAGACCACACUAAGAAAAUCAACUUGCCUAGAAGAAGACCCCUUCUCUUAGGUAGCCAGGAUUUGAAGGGAGAGACUCUGACCUGUGCCACUGGAGGCUACUGGAGGAUGUACUUCACCAAAACAAAGGAGUAAUCUAAGUAAGAAGGCAUGGGACCCUGAAAAUAUAAGAUCUCACAAAGGAAUGCAAUGAAGGAAGGUCCCAGGAUGACUACUGUGUCAAGUAAGUAGAGCGGGGGUUUCAGGAAGUAUUUCUAGGAAACUUGGAACAAAGUGUUUAAGUACAUAGGAAGUGUAGAAAGAAGUGCAACAGAGGUUGGGAUAAGAGAAAAAAAAAAAAAAAGAAAAGAAGUACAAGAGUAACUAGAUUAAUGAUAAAAUGAAGCAAUUAGAAGUACCCCAAAUACAUCUUUUUGGAUGAGUGUCACUGUGUCACACACACACAAAAAAAAAAAUCUGAGAUUUUAUUUCUUAAAAUGUAAUCAUUUUAUUACAAUUUUGGUAGUCAUAUUUUAGAAGUUUGACAUUAAAACUGUAGGAAAAUUGUAGGAUUGUCAGCAAUUAGAGUACUCCUUCAGGCAUCAUACUCCAGUUUCAAUAGAUGCUCACCUUCAAUAAGAUGUGCACUGGAGAAAAUUUUUUCAGAAAAAAUAGUUUUAAGUAACUUGUUUUGUAAAUGGAACUUUGUCCUUUGCUUAGGCAAAUCUCAAAAUUUUUUAUUUAAAAGAAAUGUUGCAUAAUCUAUAGCAGUAAUUUCAAUAAGCUUUUCAUUUAAAUUUUAGCCUCUGUAGACUCAAAAGCAUAAGGAAUUAUUUAUUUCUUUAGAAAUAAUACUUUGAAAUUUCAUAUUGUUUUUCAUCUUCCAAACUGUUUUUGCUAUCAAGAUAUAGUUGUAUCCAGUGACCAGUGACCAGUGGCCAGGGCCAUAAUAUAUUCCCAUAUAACACUUUAGAUUUUUUUCCCUAUGUGUUAUGAUUGAGGUUUCUUCCUGUACUCUGUUUCUAUAAAUAUUAUAUAACCUAAGAAUAAAUUUUGAUCUAAUUGUAUAUGA